AAGGAUUUAAGUUAAGACUAAACUAUUAGCCUUCAAAGCUGGAAAUAGGAGGUUUCCUAAGCCUUA
This 66-nucleotide transfer RNA is filed under the name Semanotus bifasciatus. RNAcentral's name for it is "tRNA-Trp". It matches the Rfam family "tRNA". Rfam says of the family: Transfer RNA (tRNA) molecules are approximately 80 nucleotides in length. Lineage: Eukaryota; Metazoa; Arthropoda; Insecta; Coleoptera; Cerambycidae. The record is from RNAcentral.